Molecule: ribosomal RNA, 201 nt
Filed under: uncultured bacterium
Lineage: Bacteria
Description: partial 16S ribosomal RNA
Rfam family: Bacterial small subunit ribosomal RNA
Source: RNAcentral
GUAGGCUGCAACCCGCCUGCAUGAAGUCGGAAUUGCUAGUAAUCGCAGAUCAGCAUGCUGCGGUGAAUACGUUCCCGGGCCUUGUACACACCGCCCGUCACACCAUGGGAGUCGGUAACACCCAAAGUUGGUAGCCUAACCGCAAGGAGGGCGCCGCCUAAGGUGGGAUUGAUGACUGGGGUGAAGUCGUAACAAGGUAGC